UACAGAGGUCUCAAGCGUUGUUCGGAUUCAUUGGGCGUAAAGGGUGCGUAGGCGGCGCGGUAAGUCGGGUGUGAAAUUUCGAGGCUUAACUUCGAAACUGCAUUCGAUACUGCCGUGCUAGAGGACUGGAGAGGAGACUGGAAUUUACGGUGUAGCGGUGAAAUGCGUAGAUAUCGGGAGGAACACCGAUGGCGAAGGCAGCACUCUGGGCCGGUACUGACGCUGAGGAGCGAAAGCGUGGGGAGCGAACAGG
This 253-nucleotide ribosomal RNA is filed under the name uncultured bacterium. RNAcentral's name for it is "partial 16S ribosomal RNA". It matches the Rfam family "Bacterial small subunit ribosomal RNA", at positions 524 to 776 of the family's 1533-position model. The record is from RNAcentral.